This 253-nucleotide ribosomal RNA is filed under the name uncultured bacterium. RNAcentral's name for it is "partial 16S ribosomal RNA". It matches the Rfam family "Bacterial small subunit ribosomal RNA", at positions 524 to 776 of the family's 1533-position model. The record is from RNAcentral.
GACAGAGGGUGCAAACGUUGUUCGGAAUUACUGGGCGUAAAGCGCGUGUAGGCAGCUCGGAAAGUCGGGUGUGAAAGCCCUGGGCUUAACCUAGGAAGUGCACUCGAAACUUCCGAGCUUGAGUUCUGGAGAGGAAGGCGGAAUUCUCGGUGUAGAGGUGAAAUUCGUAGAUAUCGAGAGGAACACCGGUGGCGAAGGCGGCCUUCUGGACAGUGACUGACGCUGAGACGCGAAUGCGUGGGGAGCAAACAGG